UACGAAGGGGGCUAGCGUUGUUCGGAAUUACUGGGCGUAAAGCGCACGUAGGCGGAUAUUUAAGUCAGGGGUGAAAUCCCAGAGCUCAACUCUGGAACUGCCUUUGAUACUGGGGUAUCUUGAGUAUGGAAGAGGUAAGUGGAAUUGCGAGUGUAGAGGUGAAAUUCGUAGAUAUUCGCAGGAACACCAGUGGCGAAGGCGGCUUACUGGUCCAUAACUGACGCUGAGGUGCGAAAGCGUGGGGAGCAAACAGGG
This 255-nucleotide ribosomal RNA is filed under the name uncultured bacterium. Its description in RNAcentral is "partial 16S ribosomal RNA". It matches the Rfam family "Bacterial small subunit ribosomal RNA", at positions 524 to 777 of the family's 1533-position model. The record is from RNAcentral.